Molecule: long non-coding RNA, 519 nt
Organism: Ceratitis capitata (Mediterranean fruit fly)
Lineage: Eukaryota; Metazoa; Arthropoda; Insecta; Diptera; Tephritidae
Exons: 3
Source: RefSeq, a predicted model, not a curated record
AUCCCAAAUCUUCUUCCCAAUUCACUGGAGGUGCAGGAGUUGGUAUGCAAUCAAUGCGGGACUUCAUCUUCUUUCCUAACAGGAAAGGUAUGCACGACAAAUCAAUAAGUAAAUCGAUAGUCGACAAUUGAUAUCACUAAAUACAACUUAUGCUUAUCGCACAGGAACUCCCACGUGUCGCUAUAGUAUACAAGUAAACUCCUUCCUGUCGGUAUUUUAUAUACUCACACGUCUACCAAAAGCAAUUUACCGUAAUAAUAUAUUCAUUGUAGGAGAUUGCUGCUGUCAUAUGCCACACAUGCAGUGGUUGCAAGUUACUGCUGCUUAAGUGUUGUAGGUUAAACAAAUGGAAGCUUUGUUGGGCUGUAAGUCAGCGUCUUAGCGUCUGCGAGUUGUUACUUUAAGUACUAUAAUAUUAUGCAUUUGUGUGUAUGUAAUUAAGCUGGAGUGUAAACCACAUUUUGUUGCCGCUUUCAGUAUACACAUCGAAUCUAGUUAGUUCCUGUUAAUUGUUUGUAA